This 468-nucleotide ribosomal RNA is filed under the name uncultured bacterium. Its description in RNAcentral is "partial 16S ribosomal RNA". It matches the Rfam family "Bacterial small subunit ribosomal RNA", at positions 28 to 507 of the family's 1533-position model. The record is from RNAcentral.
GACGAACGCUGGCGGCGUGCUUAACACAUGCAAGUCGAACGGAAAGGCCCUGCUUUUGUGGGGUGCUCGAGUGGCGAACGGGUGAGUAACACGUGAGUAACCUGCCCUUGACUUUGGGAUGACUUCAGGAAACUGGGGCUAAUACCGGAUAGGAGCUCCUGCUGCAUGGUGGGGGUUGGAAGGUUUCGGCGGUUGGGGAUGGACUCGCGGCUUAUCAGCUUGUUGGUGGGGUAGUGGCUUACCAAGGCUUUGACGGGUAGCCGGCCUGAGAGGGUGACCGGCCACAUUGGGACUGAGAUACGGCCCAGACUCCUACGGGAGGCAGCAGUGGGGAAUAUUGCACAAUGGGCGGAAGCCUGAUGCAGCAACGCCGCGUGCGGGAUGACGGCCUUCGGGUUGUAAACCGCUUUCGCCUGUGACGAAGCGUGAGUGACGGUAAUGGGUAAAGAAGCACCGGCUAACUACGUG